GCUGAGUGUGGUAGUGCAUACCUGUAAUCCCAGCAGCUUGGGAGGCUGAGGCAGGAGGAUACAAGUUUGAUGCCAGCCUGGGCAAAUUAGGGAGACCCUGUCUCAA
RNAcentral lists this small RNA (106 nucleotides) under Marmota monax (woodchuck). Lineage: Eukaryota; Metazoa; Chordata; Mammalia; Rodentia; Sciuridae. The record is from RNAcentral.